AUCCUGGGCGUAAGGGAGCGUAGGCGGCGUGGUAAGUCAGGUGUGAAAUCCCGGGGCUCAACCCCGGAACUGCACCCGAUACUGCCGUGCUUGAGGGUUGGAGAGGUAGCUGGAAUUCUCGGUGUAGCAGUGAAAUGCGUGGAUAUCGAGAGGAACACUCGUGGCGAAGGCGAGCUACUGGACAACAUCUGACGCUGAGGCUCGAAGGCCAGGGGAGCAAAAGGGAUUAGAUACCCCUGUAGUCCUGGCAGUAAACGGUGUGCGCUUGGUGUGAGGGGAUUCGACCCCCCUUGUGCCGGAGCUAACGCGUUAAGCGCACCGCCUGGGAAGUACGGCCGCAAGGCUAAAACUCAAAGAAAUUGACGGGGACCCGCACAAGCGGUGGAGUAUGUGGCUUAAUUCGAUGCAACGCGAAGAACCUUACCAAGGCUUGACAUGCAUCUCUAAGCGCGUGAAAGCGCGUGACUCUUCGGAGGAUUUGCACAGGUGCUGCAUGGCCGUCGUCAGCUCGUGUCGUGAGAUGUUGGGUUAAGUCCCGCAACGAGCGCAACCCCUGUGAACAGUUGCCAGCACGUCAAGGUGGGGACUCUGUUCAGACUGCCCAGAUCAACUGGGAGGAAGGUGGGGACGACGUC
RNAcentral lists this ribosomal RNA (635 nucleotides) under uncultured bacterium. RNAcentral describes it as "bacterial SSU rRNA". It matches the Rfam family "Bacterial small subunit ribosomal RNA", at positions 547 to 1186 of the family's 1533-position model. The record is from RNAcentral.